Corythoichthys intestinalis (scribbled pipefish) is the source of this 2245-nucleotide long non-coding RNA. RefSeq lists it as uncharacterized. The transcript is spliced from 3 exons. The record is from RefSeq and is a predicted model, not a curated record. NCBI's taxonomy places the organism in Eukaryota, Metazoa, Chordata, Actinopteri, Syngnathiformes, Syngnathidae.
UCGUACUUUUUUUUUGACUUUGAAAGCCAUGGUGGAAAAAAGGUACAAGGAAACCAAAGAUAAAAAAGCCAUUGUGGCUAAAGCAUCUGCAUGUAGUUUGACAUCAGAUAUGUGGACGUCCAUCAAUACUGAUGCCUGUCUAGCUGUGACAUGUCAUUUCAUUGAUGAAACCACAUCCCUCCAAUCAGUUGUACUGGGGGUGCAACAUUUCCCUGAGGCACACACUGCAGCAAACAUGGCUUUUAUGAAAACCUCGCUAAUGUCAGAGUGGGGUAUCAGUGACAAAGUGACAUGUCUAGUGACUGAUGGAGCAGCAAAUAUGGGAGCUUGUGCCAGAGAGCUUCAUAUGCGUCACACUAUUUGUGUGGCACAUACGCUAAAUCUUUUGGUGAAAAAAGCUCUUGACCAAUGUCCUGAAUUGUUCCACAUCCGGGCAAACUGUCGAAAGAUAGUUGGUUAUUUUAAGAGCAGCACUAUAGCAAAGGAGAGACUAACUCAGAUGCAAGUUCAAAUGGGCCUUCCAGUGCUUAAACUUCUUCCGGAGGUUGAAACGAGGUGGAACAGCACUUAUCUCAUGCUUCAGCGUAUCUACACUUUGAGAGAGCCUGUCGGAGCAGCUUUGGCUGGUCUACGCACUGAUCUGACACCAUUGUCUGCUGAACAGUACAGAAUUAUUGCUGUUUGAAAGUAUUGGAGCCAUUUAACUAUGCCACAAUUGAGCUGUCUGAGAAGAAAGUUUCGGGGUCAAAGGUAAUUCCGCUGUUGUCCAUGUUGCAUCACUCCCUGGAGGAAGAAGAGAUUCGACAGCUUCAAACUCCAGAGAGCACAUCCAUGGUUGAGUUUCUGCAAAGACAACUAAGAGAAGCUGAACCAACUCCAGUCUAUGAGCAUUAUGUUUCUGGCUACUCUGCUUGACCCAAGGUUUAAAAAAGUAGGCUUCUUCAGUCCCAGUAAAGCAGCAGAGGCAGAAAAAAGGCUCACGAUGGAAUGCGCAGCUAUCAUGAGCCGCACAGCCUCAUCUACUUCAUCAUCAUUAUCAUCACCGUCGUCGUCAUCAUCAGAACCUUCCCAGUCUGUUGGAGGAAGCAAACUGUGGCAUCAUUUUGAUGCCUCAGUCCAUCAAGCAAGAACCACAAAUGUCACGGCAAAUGCAACAGUUGAGGUGCAAAAGUAUCUGGGAGCACCAAACAUCCCCCGAGUUGAAAGUCCCCUUCAGUACUGGGAAUCACAGAAAUAUACACUUCCAACUUUAUACAAACUUGCUGUAUCCUAUCUAUGCACCCCUGCUUCAUCAGUGCCAUGUGAGUUUUUUCAAAAGCAGAUGAAAUUCUCUGCAAAAAAAGAAACCGCCGGAGUCAAAACUUAGGGGGAAAAAAUAUUGUUUCUAAAUAAAAAUAAGCACAUUUUGCCUCAUUUCACAUUUUCACUUGUUUCAUAUGCACAUAGACAAAGUAACGCACAAUAAUUCAUGUUAAACUUAAAAUAUGUAUUUUCUUUGUAAUCAGCAUGAUUCAUGCACCAAGCAUGUUAUACAUUUUUCUGUCCACAUGAUGGCGUAGUCGAGGUAAUCAAUCCUCUUGAAGCCCCUAGGUGUGUGACUCAUUUCCCUGCAGGGCUUCAUUUUGCCAUCACUAGUGAAAACGUGCCGAAUAUUGCCAACAAUCGUCCUGCUUUGUCAGUGUUAUAUCAGUAAACCAGUGAGCAUUGUUAGCAUGCUCAUUGCAAAAUAACUCCACACAAGGAAGUAAAUACUGUGAGCAGCAAAAAUAAAAACUGUCCUUCUGUUCAAGGACUUUUUUAUUGUUUUGUUUUUUCGGUCAUUUUUUGGCAUAUUGUCCUCAUGAGUGAAUGUUUCUAAUCAAUUUUAAUUUAUUAUUAUUUACUGAUUUUAUUAUUUUUUCUGUAUCAAAUGGUAAAUGUACCUUGAGUGUAUUUUUUUACAGUUUGGAUGUGACUUUUUUUAAUUCAGGCAAAUUGAUGCGCGUCAAGUCUUCUGUUACAAACAACGUCAAGUCUUCUGUUACAAACAACAAUGUUAAUAAAGUUAUACUUUUAAAGUUGAUCUGUUACUUUUUUUAUUAGAAAAAAGGACAAUGUUAGGCAGAUGCGUAUUUAUAAUCGUAAUUUCAUAGACAAAUGAUACUAUUUACAGUGGCGGCAGAGUUUGGGGGGGCGCAAAACAUUUACGUCUUCCUUGGGGGGGCGUAACAAAAUAAUUGAGAAGCACUGCCCUAGUCGCCAUUUC